Molecule: ribosomal RNA, 305 nt
Filed under: uncultured bacterium
Lineage: Bacteria
Description: bacterial SSU rRNA
Rfam family: Bacterial small subunit ribosomal RNA
Source: RNAcentral
UAUGCCCUACGGGGGGCAGCAGUGAGGAAUAUUGGUCAAUGGCCGAGAGGCUGAACCAGCCAAGUCGCGUGAGGGAUGACGGCCCUAUGGAUUGUAAACCUCUUUUGCCGAGGAGCAAAAAGCGGUACGUGUACCGCAUCGAGAGUACCCGGAGAAAAAGCAUCGGCUAACUCCGUGCCAGCAGCCGCGGUAAUACGGAGGAUGCGAGCGUUAUCCGGAUUUAUUGGGUUUAAAGGGUGCGCAGGCGGCGAGUUAAGUCAGCGGUAAAAUUUCGGGGCUCAACCCCGACGAGCCGUUGAAACUGG